GACGAACGCUGGCGGCGUGCCUAAUACAUGCAAGUAGAGCGCACAGUUUAUACCGUAGCUUGCUACACCAUAAACUGUGAGUUGCGAACGGGUGAGUAACGCGUAGGUAACCUGCCUGGUAGCGGGGGAUAACUAUUGGAAACGAUAGCUAAUACCGCAUAAUAUUGAUUAUUGCAUGAUAAUUGAUUGAAAGAUGCUAUUGCAUCACUACCAGAUGGACCUGCGUUGUAUUAGCUAGUAGGUGAGGUAACGGCUCACCUAGGCGACGAUACAUAGCCGACCUGAGAGGGUGAUCGGCCACACUGGGACUGAGACACGGCCCAGACUCCUACGGGAGGCAGCAGUAGGGAAUCUUCGGCAAUGGACGAAAGUCUGACCGAGCAACGCCGCGUGAGUGAAGAAGGUUUUCGGAUCGUAAAGCUCUGUUGUAAGAGAAGAACGGGUGUGAGAGUGGAAAGUUCACACUGUGACGGUAUCUUACCAGAAAGGGACGGCUAACUACGUG
Molecule: ribosomal RNA, 505 nt
Filed under: uncultured bacterium
Lineage: Bacteria
Description: partial 16S ribosomal RNA
Rfam family: Bacterial small subunit ribosomal RNA
Source: RNAcentral